Molecule: long non-coding RNA, 2378 nt
Filed under: Equus asinus (donkey)
Lineage: Eukaryota; Metazoa; Chordata; Mammalia; Perissodactyla; Equidae
Description: lncRNA (ENSEASG00005036180.1)
Source: RNAcentral
GGCUGGUUACUUUUAAUAAACUGCAGACAGGAAAGCAACUGAAAAGUAGAAUUUACUUACCCUUUGUUAAGAGACAUUUACAUUGUAAAGGAAAUCUCUGUCUGUAUAGGUGUCUCCCUCUCUGUACCAGGAAGAAGGGGGGAUGACCUUAUCUCUAGAAACUCUUAUCAAUGCAGAAUGGAAGGACUUAAAUCUGCAUAAUAAUCUUAUUCCUGUUUAUUGUGCUUGUCUGGUAACCUCCUGUAACUGACUUGCCCGACCCACAACAUCCUCCUUUGUCUUGAGCUGAAGAUGAUAUUUAAGGUGGGGGCUUCAGCCAUUUUGGCGAGUUGCUCAGCUUGCCUGAGCCUCUCUCAUGUAUACAUGUUAUAAAGCUCUGUUUAAUUUUCUCCUGUUAUUCUGUCUCAUGUGAAUUUAAUUCAUUCUCUGGCCAAAUGAACCCAGAGAGGGUAGAGGAAAUGUCUUCCUCCCCUACAAUAUCAUCUCGUAAGUAGCUUUUGGAUUUAGGCAUCAAAGCACUCAGAGUUUCUGAGUUCUAAGAGAUUUCAAUUUGUGUGGAUCUCAUGCUGUUUCUCUGCUUCCCUUGUGUUUCAUUUCCCAGUUGUAACUUUCUGAGCCACAUGCUGGUUCUUGCGGCUUCUAGAUCCAAAACCUGCUCAAGAAGGAGUUCCAGAAUUUCCACAUGUUGUUUUUUCUUCAGCUUUUCCCCUUGUUUCUAGUUGAACUGACAGGCAAUUACAGAAAAUAAUGUCUGUUAUUUGUACUUUUCAAAAAAAUUUCAGGUUUUCAUUUGACAAACAAAUGGGAAGCAAUAGGAUCUACUGGAGUCUAUGAGGAGGCCAUUUGGUGUCAGCCUAAUUCGGCCUGACAGUGUUUUUCCUGUCAAAAGGGCCUGACGUGGCCGUUGAGCACGCAUCGCAUCGUAGAUCCGCUUUAAACAUUUCCUAUGGCAAGAACAAAUGCCCUUAAGAGAAAGGUGCAACUUCCCCGCACAUUGGCCUUUCCUUAAGGAGAGGCAUCUUUCCUUAGGCUAGGAACGGAUGGCUGUGCUCACCUUUGACCAUCCAGCUCACCUGUGACCACCUAGGCCGAAACAACAGACCUGCCACCCAGCUGUGUCCGUCGAUCCCUGUGCCGACAGAGCAAUCUCGUGACUAUCGUCAAAGGGACCUUUCGAUCCUAUGUGAAGCGUCCUCCCUGGGGGUCUAGAAGCACUCUGUACACCCCACUUCUCGGGUGCCCUUUCUUCCUUCGGGAAGAAAGGCCCCAGGCCACAGUCCUCACAUUUUAGCUCAGAAUAAACUCACCUCAAUUUUCAUGGAUAGAUUGGUUCUGGAUUAUUUUUGUCGACACAUUAUAGUCCAAAAUGGUGAAUUUUGAGAAAUGUUAUGUGGGCACCUGAUGUUACCAGGGUAUAGAUUUGCAUUUACUUCAAUUUGUUAAAUAUUUAAAAUGAUAUAUAUAUAUAUAUUUAUAUUUUAAAUUAUAUAAUUCAGACAUUCCUGCGGACAGGAAUUUUAAGCUUUCCUUAGAAAGCAACCGAUAAGAGAGGAGAACGCUGACGUGUGAAUCCUUCGGGCCUCUUCCCUCGCUCCCUCUCUUCCUGCCUGCCUGCCUCAGGGGACAUCGUGGAAGAGCGGACACUCUGCCUUGGACGCUGGGGACACGACGAGGCGCCUGUGGUCAUAUGUGUGUGAGUGUGCACCACACGGCGGUGGCUAGAAGGGCUGUCCGGGCAGAGGGAACAGUGUGGACCGGUGGGUCCACGGGGCCGCAGAGGCGAGGUCUCAGCAGAGGCGCCGUCCUGUGCCUUCAUGGGCGCUGCCCUCCCGCCCUCUGUGCUCACGGUGGGCCCCAGCUGCCAGGCGCGGGCUCGCCUCUGGGCGCAGCCCUAGUCUCCCCAAUGCCCUUGGCCGGCGGGCCGUGGUGGCCCGGGGCUCUUCAUCAGCCCGGGAUGAAUCCAGGGGGCGCUACGGGGCGUCCUGCAGAGAACUCGACGUGAGAGGAAGACCUCCUGCACAGAGAGGUGCGGACCAUGCCAGGAGCCGCUCAGCACGAGUUCCAGAAGCACGGGAAGCUGUCAUCGAAUUCUGCCCUGGCAUAGAGGACAAACGCCCGCAAGUGCCUGGUGUCCUGCACGUAUUGGAACAGGAUCCGGAGCUGCCGAAGGCGAUUCAAGCAUCUUGAGGAAAAGCUGGGCAGAACGCUUUCUUCUUCCCAGGGCCAGUCUGUCCCUUGAACCGAAAGCUCGUGGUCGGUGGUUGAGAGUCGGGGGCUGAGAGAAGCCACAUCUUCUCCAGACAGGAGGUGCAGACGGAGACGGGAACCGCGGAAGCGGCGGUUAAACAGGAGCGUCCGGCCCUGGCCCCCGCGCGUCG